This 400-nucleotide ribosomal RNA is filed under the name phytoplankton environmental sample. RNAcentral's name for it is "partial small subunit ribosomal RNA". It matches the Rfam family "Eukaryotic small subunit ribosomal RNA", at positions 587 to 987 of the family's 1831-position model. The record is from RNAcentral.
AGCUCCAAUAGUGUAUACUAAAGUUGUUGCGGUUAAAAAGCUCGUAGUCGUAUCUUUGAUUUUUGAGGUACUGGCUCCACCCUGAGGGGUGGAUCAUAGCCAUACCUGGAGGUCCACCUUUGCAAUAUCCACGUCAGUUAUGAGUAACUGUCGAUUGCAAUCAUUUACUUUGAGGAAAUUAGAGUGUUCAAAGCAGACAGACCGUCUUGAAUACAUUAGCAUGGGAUAAUAAAACAUGUCCGUCUCUGCAUGUUUAUUGGUUCUGCAGUUUAUGGAAAUGAUCAAUAGGAACAGUUGUGACCGAUCGUACUUGGAGGCUAGAGGUGAAAUUCUGUGACCCUCCAAAGACGAACAAGAGCGAAGGCAUUCGGUAAGGAUGUUUUCUUUGAUCAAGAACGAA